RNAcentral lists this ribosomal RNA (591 nucleotides) under Tylopsis lilifolia. Its description in RNAcentral is "partial 12S ribosomal RNA". The stretch from base 181 to 581 matches the Rfam family "Microsporidia small subunit ribosomal RNA", at positions 752 to 1303 of the family's 1311-position model. The record is from RNAcentral. Lineage: Eukaryota; Metazoa; Arthropoda; Insecta; Orthoptera; Tettigoniidae.
GAAGGAUAGAGAUAAAUUAUAUUAGCUGGGAGUUAGUUGCUGUUAUUGACAUGGUUUUUGAUUUGGUAGGUGAAAUUUUAAAUCGGGGUUGUGUUAAUUUUGUAGGAUGAAGCUUUGAAAAUUGAGAUAUAAACUAGGAUUAGAUACCCUAUUAUUUUAAUUUUAAAUGGUAUAAGGCUUGAGUAGUAGUAGUAGUUCUUGAAACUCAAAGAAUUUGGCGGUGCCUCAAUCUUUUCAGAGGAAUCUGUCCCGUAAUUGAUAUUACACGUUAAAUUUCACUUAAUUUUAUAUUUGUAUACCGCCGUCAUAAGAUUAUCUUUGUAGAGAUAUUAAUUUUCUAGAAAUUUUUGAUAUUAUAUGUCAGGUCAAGGUGCAGUUUAUAAUUAAGAGGGAGAUGGAUUACAAUAAAUUUAUUUAUACGGAUUUUUUGCUGCGAUGCAAGGGGGAAGGUGGAUUUGAAAGUAAUUUUGUUAUAUUAUGAUAUAAUGACUUAAGCUCUGGGGCAUGUACACAUCGCCCGUCGCUCUCGUUAUAAGGCGAGAUAAGUCGUAACAUAGUAGUCGUACUGGAAAGUGUGUCUAGAAAGUUCAA